Molecule: ribosomal RNA, 253 nt
Filed under: uncultured bacterium
Lineage: Bacteria
Description: partial 16S ribosomal RNA
Rfam family: Bacterial small subunit ribosomal RNA
Source: RNAcentral
UACGUAGGGGGCAAGCGUUGUCCGGAUUUAUUGGGCGUAAAGAGCGUGUAGGCGGCCGCACAGGUCCGUUGUGAAAACUGGAGGCUUAACCUUCAGACGUCGAUGGAAACCGUGCGGCUAGAGUCCGGAAGAGGAGAAUGGAAUUCCUGGUGUAGCGGUGAAAUGCGCAGAUAUCAGGAGGAACACCGAUUGCGAAGGCAGCUCGCUGGGACGUAACUGACGCUGAGACGCGAAAGCGUGGGGAGCAAACAGG